RNAcentral lists this long non-coding RNA (1373 nucleotides) under Homo sapiens (human). Its description in RNAcentral is "novel transcript". Lineage: Eukaryota; Metazoa; Chordata; Mammalia; Primates; Hominidae. The record is from RNAcentral.
AAUGGAGAAGGAGACACCUGACCGAGAAACUGUUCUUCACUAAGUAGGAAGAUGGUGCCAGCCGCUACCCAUUCUUACUCACCUAUUUAGUAUGGGUUAAGAGUAAGGGAAACUCUAAUCCUGACCCCUUGGCUUCAUCAUUGUGAAGAUUCGCUUCAGAUUAAAGUGUUUAAUUUUUGCAAGAACACUAUAGAGCUGAUGUGGCCUCAGUGUAUCACAGCAAGGGAACAGACUGUUAAUUUAUUCCAUUAAAGGUUUUUCAAGACUUACUACUAUUGUAAGGAGUUUAAGAAUUAAUAAAUAACGGAGGAGGAGCCAAGAUGGCCGAAUAGGAACAGCUCGGGUCUACAGCUCCCAGCGUGAGCGACAUAGAAGACGGGUGAUUUCUGCAUUUCCAUCUGAGAUCCCCAAAGUAGAGAGACUGAAUUACAGCAAUGACCUCGACUUGCAUUUACUAGACAAGGACAUUGAGGCUCAGUAAGGUGAGAUGACUUGCUCCAGAUCACACAGGGUUGAAGCUGAAAUUUUAAUCUAGAGUCCAGUUCCAGAAUCUGUGCUUAUAAACUGUGCUGUGCUGUAUUUGCUUUAAGAAUAUAAGGGUCAUUUCCUGCUUGAAUAAUCAAGGAAGGCAUGAUGGAAAAGUUAGGGGCAUCAUAAAACCCAAAGACAAUUCUGAUCAUAUUUUUACUUCAACACUUCUACAGGAAAGAAAGCCUUCCCAUCACUAAUAGUGAGUUCUCUGGCAGCAAGCCUCAGUCAUUGCAGCAGGAAUACUGCUUAAAUAUUAUACUGGUAUGUGUGGGGUAAUUUGAAGUCUACCAUCCAUCACCAUCACCACCAAACCUAAUGUAUGAGUUGCCUAUUCCUUCCCGGGAUAGCACACUGCACUACUGAGGAUCACUGUUCUAUGGAAGUAGUUUUCAAACUUGAGCAUGCAUAAAAAGAAGAGCGAAGAGGCUUGUUAAAUACAGCUCUCUUUCAGCAGGUCUGGGGUACUUACUACUAAUGAGCAGUUUUUAGGAAGCAUCCUAGAUGAUUCCGUGUAUCCAGGUGGGCCACAGAAACAUUUGCAAAAACAUUACAUCGGAGCCAUUGUUGACUAUCCCUAAUCUGUAAGAAGCCAAUAGUCAUCGAGACCCAAUGGAGCAAUGCAGCAGAAUGGGGGAAGCCCAGGGGGCAGAGUGAGGGCAUCACCAGGGCAGUGAUUGCAUUUGCAACCCAUUCUUGCCAAAGAGAAAUUCGGAAGCACACUUCAAGGAACUAAGUUCAGUGAUAAUCACACUUGAUUGAUUUUCAGUACUGUCACAGUUUGAGAACUAUUUAUUGCCCUGAUUUGCUCUUUUCUCUGCCCUGUAUUAAAGAUCUUGCAUGAC